UACGUAGGUGACCAGCGUUGUCCGGAUUUACUGGGCGUAAAGAGCGCGCAGGCGGUCGUUCAAGUCGAGUGUGAAAGCCCCCGGCUCAACUGGGGAGGGUCACUCGAUACUGAUCGACUUGAAGGCAGGAGAGGGAAGCGGAAUUCCCGGUGUAGUGGUGAAAUGCGUAGAUAUCGGGAGGAACACCAGUGGCGAAGGCGGCUUCCUGGCCUGUUCUUGGCGCUGAGGAGCGAAAGCAUGGGGAGCGAACAGG
This 253-nucleotide ribosomal RNA is filed under the name uncultured bacterium. RNAcentral describes it as "partial 16S ribosomal RNA". It matches the Rfam family "Bacterial small subunit ribosomal RNA", at positions 524 to 776 of the family's 1533-position model. The record is from RNAcentral.